UAGGUUCAGAAGUACGAGCUUCAGAGCAUCCUUAGUUGAUUAGACGUUCAGCAGCCAGACUAGCAGGUCUGGAGAUAUUUUUAUUUCUUUGCGCAAUGAUAGGUGAUUCCUUAAUUAUCCAUGAGUUGGCUUGAAGUGGCAAAGAGUCUCUGGUCCUCGGCAAACUUUACAUACCCAUCACGGCCAAGCCCUGGUUUGGGUCGUAACACAUCUUUCAAUGGGGCCAGCCGAGAAAAAAAGAUAAAUGUGGAUGAUGCGGAUGAUAGUGAGUAUUCUUUCCUCUCUGAUGUUGAGGGUGGUGAUGGUGGUGAUGAUAAGGCUCAUUCUCGAUCCAGAAUUGAUUGGCUCGCCUGUAGUUUGCUAGUUUGAUGCAGAGUUUAGGGAGUCCCUACCUCCUUCUCUACUUUAUUAUGUACUAGAUUUUUUUAGUUGAGGGUGGGGCAACUUGUAUUUGUUAUUGGGCCUGUGCUAUUUAUAUUUCAUUUUGAUAAAUUUGUGCCCUUGUUAGGCUUGAUUUGUAUGAUUGAUUGAUUGAGACCCUUAUCGGGAUUGUGUGGUGUUGAUAUGGAUGAUUAUUUUGGUGCUUAUUGUGUUGAUUAUUUUUGUUGGAUUA
Molecule: long non-coding RNA, 613 nt
Organism: Capsicum annuum
Lineage: Eukaryota; Viridiplantae; Streptophyta; Magnoliopsida; Solanales; Solanaceae
Exons: 3
Source: RefSeq, a predicted model, not a curated record